Molecule: long non-coding RNA, 9563 nt
Organism: Hylaeus volcanicus
Lineage: Eukaryota; Metazoa; Arthropoda; Insecta; Hymenoptera; Colletidae
Exons: 2
Source: RefSeq, a predicted model, not a curated record
UUAUGAUUGUAUAUAUACAUACACAAUUGUAUAUAAUUUAUAUAUUAUAUUACAUACAAGAACUGUGGACAAAUGUUUAAGAACGGUAGUUCGCAAGUAGCAGCGAAUGAACAAAUUAAUUAUUUAGGAUUCGUCCGUCCGUUUUCAAUUGAACAAAGUUAAAUUGGCCGCUGGUAAUCUCCCCCACUUUUGGGUCAGCGAACCUAGCGCUAAGUUGUCUCCCCUCCUGGCUGCACAUUCGGGUUAAUUAGGUUCAUUAAACUUGAUGGGCAGUGGCAAGGGCGAGCACGAGCUCUUAGCGUCUUCGUUCGUACUCGAUACUCGAAACAACGUCUUCGACUUGAACGAGGAAAAAUUAUAAUUGCAUCGGGCACCGCUGCCUCCGAUCCGAAAUAGUUGCCUCGAGAUAGUUCAUAUUUCAUACUUAAUCGCACUCUUUCGAUUCAUAUUUAAUGGAAGAAUAAUCAAGCGAAGAUACUCGUUAGAAUUCUCCGUUAAAUAAAUUCACGGGGGAACUACCAUAACGAAAUGUCAAUUACACGUGCCCACAGAGGGUUGCAAAAAUACUUGGUCAUAUUGUUACGCCGGAGGGUUGAAACACGAGAAUCCACGUUAAACUAUAUAUAACGUUUAUUAACAAACUUUAACUUUUAACGAUUUAAUAAUAAUUCAACGAUAAACUUAGAGACUUGUAGCGAUACGUCUUCUCUCUUUGAGAUCUCGAAUCGCUCUCUUCUAUUUUAAAAGUUUGCCGCUUCCUGGCAACCGGAAGCGCGGGAACUCGUUUCACACCGCGCCACCGCGCGCAGAAAAUAAUCGUAUUAGUUAAUUAAUAAUGAAAACGAAAACUGUCUUCGAUCUCUCCUUUUGCCGUGUAUCGAAAAAGUGCUCGGAAUUGGCAAGAAUAAUUAGCGCCGUCGAGUCGAGUACCACGCGCGGGCCUGACACGCGAAACCAAAGUUUCUUCUUCGGCGUACACAAAGCGUCCUCUUGUUUGCACUUUCCGUCGCAACUGUACGCACAUGUGCGCAUCUAAAUAUAUUCGCACGCGGUGCACGUGGCGCGCCGCCCACACUCAAACGAUGCCUGCACAUUUAUUCCACGGUGAUCCGAGGAAAGCAUUCGCGUCUGAAGAACACUCGCCGAACGGUUUUCUGUGAAAAGAUCUGCUCGUUGAAUAAUUCGUGUUUCUUUCCGCGCCGCGCUUCGGAAUCUAAAAAGGCGGGGGAAACGGCACCGAAAACGUCAGGUUUGUAGACGGCAUUAUUUAGAAAGGAUAAUUACUUUCUCUUUCAUUUUUUGUUUACUUCUGCAGAUGAGAAUACUCGACGCAGACUUCCUUCGAGUAUCUCGAAUGCAAAGCGACGACUCUGAUCACCCUCUUCCGGCAAUUAUGCUCGGUACUCGUUCUCUCCUACGUUGGUAGACAAAUGACUAUUUCUGGAUCGUCUGACAUCAAAUCUAAACGCCUCGAAUGCCGUCUAUUACACUCUCGCGUAUGCCUUCAGCUUGUUAAAUUUACAAAAGAUUUCUUUGUGCUGCUAUAGAUACGUACGUAUGGUGGUUGUUUCGAGAUGGUCGCGUUCAACGGUCGGAAAUCGUCAAUUGGAAACUUUUGUAAAGCGUUACUGUUGGGUAAACCUUGAUUGAUCAAUUUAAAUCGAAAUAGGCUUGUAUGAUUCAUACAGGCAGUCCCGUAAAUAUUCGUACCCUAUAUGUCUAUCGAAGAAAUUUGUUUCGUGUUUCCAAGUGUAUGUUUGUACUCUAAAUAUACGCACGUAUGAGCUUAUUCGUAUACAUAUUUAUAAUGAAAAGUCGAACUUCUUCAUCGGGCGGCGUGUACCACCGGUGGUUCACAUUUGUGUGUCCCUUUGGGCGGAGUGUACCACCGGUGGUUCGCGCUCGCGUGUCUAUCAGAUGACGUGUACCACCGCGCCGCCUCAUGGGCGAGAAACACAAAUGGGAGCCGCACGUGUUAAAUAAAUCCAUGGAAAACUACCUCAACCGAUCAAUUAAACGAAACGUUGCGGUAGAUAUCUCCACGGGAAGACUCGUCGAUACAAACUCGCCACAAAGAUACCAUUUUCUCUGAAAGGGCAACCUUGUCCGAGCCGAUUCCCCGUCGAGAAUCGCGUAUUGCGCUAACGGCGACAGUUUUUGCCGACGCGCACUUACGCGUUCCGCGUUACGGAGACGACACAAUGUUCGCGCAUCGGGAGCAUCGCGACGCCGUCGUCUAACGAGCCUUCCGGUAAUUACGUCGUUGCAUGCGAACUUUCUACGGCGAAUACGUACGCGAACGACGCGUUGUAGUCUGGCUGAAUGCGCGUCGUCCUAUCGGACCCCGCGAUCUCUCUGAUUUUUACAAUUAACUCUCUGUGGGCACGUGUAACUUUCGAUUCGCGCACCACGUUAUUGAUAUUACGUUGAGUAAUUCGAUUAGUCGAAGACGGUGCAACGAUACAGUAGAAUAAUAAUGUUCAACCAGUGAAAAAAUACAGCGAAAUAAUAAUAAUAAAAAUAUUAGAUACGAUACACUGAGUACCAAAAUUAAACGAAACACUUGGAUUUUUUUUGCGUUUCUGUCUCUUGAAAGAAUCUUUCAUAAGAACUAAUUACACUGGACACCUGUUAUAUUUCGACAUGGAAAGAAUCAACGUUACUGGAAGGAAUUCGUGAAUUUAGGAACGUUACAAAAUUAAAUCCUGCGACGAACGAUAAUUUAUUUGAUUUUCGAUGGUCUCGAGACGAAAUGUAACUCUGCAGAAAUUGUGUAUGAGUUUUUGCCUGGCCUCGAACGCGUCGAUUAUCGAAAAUUUUGUAUCGCGCCUGGUUUCGCGCCCUCCGGUUCGAGAAACACCGUCCCGAACCCUCGUCGACCGAGGAGCAAAAACGAGGACAGGAAGGAGACAAGGUGGUGAAAAAGCCAUAGACGUUGGCGUAAUCCAAAAGCAGCCGCGUUUCGAACGCGCACGAAGAUGAGUGGCGCGCGAGACAAAAGGCCCUCUCUAGUCGCGGAGAGUUCACGGACAGCUGAAUGGUGAAUAAUAUAGCGCAGGAGGACCAGAGGAACGUGGCGAGGGAUAAAGUACACGCGGCGAGGGUCGAUGUGCGUGUUAAAAAAAAAAAAGAGAGAAGAGAAAAAAAAGGAAAACGAGAGGAAGUUCCCCUGGUGGCGCGAGGGUUGAAAACAGACGGACGAUCAAGCGAAAGGGAAGAGGGAAGGUUGGAGAGGUUGGCUCGUUGAAGAGUACCCUAGCCAGUCUGCUAUCGAGCAAUUCUCGUUGCUAUGGGGAUAAUCUCGAAAGGUCUCCUCGAAGUACGCAAAAUCCGGGCUUCGCGGCGCCCGAUUUACGCGGAAAUGACAGCCAUUCCUUCCGGUAUACAGCUGGUAAUCCAAACGAGUUUUCAGAGCAACAAUAAGAAUCGACGACGAGGGAUCCCAUGCAUCGCGUAAAAAUCGACCUCCAGCCCUCUCCAUCCUCCUUCCAGAGUUCGCGUCGGUGGCCCCCAUUGAAACUGCCUGGAUCCUGGAAACAGAGAGCUCCUUUGAAGCCUUCUGCAGGCGUGUUCAUCGUGCGUGCACGGCGUAAAUGGCCGCAUCCGUGCGCCACGUGCCGUGCAUUCUAUCCUAAGAGAACAAUAAUCGGCCGCUGCGAAACAACAACGAGCUCUCGCUCCUUUCCUUCCCCGUCGCUCGUGCCGGCUGAUCCGCAUGAAUAAGUAUCCCGACGACAGGAGAACCAGGAAACGUUCGACGAAGCGCACCGGACGACACGCCGGUCGAUCGUUGUUUGCUGGAUGACAGUAAUUUCAAGGCUCGGGGACUCGCGCCGUCCACGAAAAUUUUCGCCAAGGAUCGUGGCAGGUUGAAAGAACGAGCGUUCGAUUAAAACAUAACGGAAUUAGCUGAUUUAUUUGGAAAAAUCCUCGCUGAUAGUCGAAAAGAAUCCAUUCGGUCAGAACGGGCUUGUUCUUGUAUAAUCAACAUUCACCCGGUGUACUCACACACUCACGAGAAAUUGGGCGAGGCUACUACACAGAUAUACGAAUAUACAAGCGGCGUGGGGACGAACGACGAUAUAAUAAUUGUUCUCGUUACAGUAAAAAGACGAUUUCGCUUUGCUUUUUUUUUUUAUUAUUAUUUUUUGGCGCGCUCGUUACGAUUCCGCGCUCGAUUACGCCGCGGUUAUUUAAUCGUCGCUACGUAUAAUACAUAAAUAUGUAAUCUAUCGAUCGAAGCACGAGAUAAAAUAUUGAAUGAUAAUAAAACACAACAAGGGCAAGUAUAGCGUACAAUAGAAUUUUGAACGACAAGUCGAUAUAAAAACAACAACCACGUCUCGACAGAUAUUGCGAGGAUUGACUCCAGGCCCGGGAAUUCGCGUGUACCAGAAUUAGGACUGAGACUAGUAACCUAAUACACCUGAUCUUCGAUUCGUUAAAUUUCGUUCAUUCUUAAUUUAGAAAAUUUUUCGAUUUCGAUUAAAACGCGAUAGAGGAGCUUACUGAAAGUUUGAUAUGUUACAAAAACCGAAAUUGUGAAUCGUUCGAAGAGAAAUAAACAAUUAUCGACCGCAUCGUUACCGAAACGUAAUUAAAAUUCGAAACCGAACGUAGAGAAGUUGCGAAUUCGGAUUCCACUAGGCUGGAGAGAUCCUGCGAAACUUACAGCCUGGGUUGCCUAUGUACAAAGUGUCCUUAGAAUAUAAUGUUCGUUUUGGCGUACGCUAGACGUACUCGUCAUCCUAACAUCUUUCCUGUUCCUCGAUUAAUUCUCGGGUCGACUAGCAUCGUCACUCAUUACAGUCGUUAGAAUUCCCUCUAGUUUUCGUUUAAUAUCGUUCUGUUUACGUCGCAUCCGUACAGGCGAGGAUCGUGUGUUCUCGUCGCGACACCCUUCCGUGGCUGGCGUGGACCGGGACGUGCUAAUUAGACGCGUUAAUUAGUGGUAAUUCAGCUGUCGGUGGAGGCAAUCGGUGCCACCGGAAGUUCCGAGGAACUGGGUUAAGGCGACGCUGGAAGUGGGGCGGACGUGAAAAGGAAAGGUCUGUGGUGUUCGGCGAACUUCCAACGAGGAUGUUGGGUCCUGGACAACUGUGCUGGUUUUAGACGGGAGCGACUUCAACGACAAAUAUCGGACACCCAUUGUGCGAGGUUCCCGUGGACUUCGACUGUUGGUUCACCUGAAAGUUCCAGAGUUCACUUGGAGGAGCUUUUACCUUUGAUAAAUAAUGUACGCUCUCCAUUAGGAAUCACCGUUGAAUCAGCGCAACGCUUCAUUUUUUUUUUUUAAAGAUGGAAAUCAGAUUCUAAUCGUGUGUGAAAUUUUCAUUGCUCUUCGUCUGUCUUCGGUCCAAUUGAAAGUUCCAUCGUUUAAUUAGUCGCGCUAAUGAUAAUUUUUGCAUACAAUCGUUGCAUCGAUGGAGAAAUAGCGUUAUAAUUUACUAGAGAAAGGAUACUUGAAUCGUAGCCUCUUUAAGAAAUGAAUUUAUAAUAGCACUUCGGUUAUACAGGGUGUCCCAAAAAUGUUGCAACACCUUGAAAGGGGUGAUUCCAACGGUAUACACGAGCUCUGAUUGGUCGGGGUAUUUUUGUUAAUAUCUCCUUAACGAAGCCUCGGAUAACAUUUUCGCUAAGGAAAAAAUUGUUUCAAAUCACCUCCCGAACCACCCCUUUCAAGGAGUUACAAUAUUUUUUUGGAAUACCCAAUAUAACAGCACUUCGUUUAUAUAGUUGUACAGCAGAACUUGCGCGCCUGUGGAAGAACGUUAUGACCGUAUAUGGUAGGUCGCAACAAGUGAAAGUAAAGCAAGAAGAAGAUGCAGCCUGGCGCAAUAGUGAAACUAUUUACAAAUACCAAAAAUGCAGCGUCCAUACUUGCGUAAUCGCGGCAUUUUCUCGUAAAUAAGGUACAGCCGAAAAAUGUUUCAUCGUUGUUCCAUCCUGUGGGAUAUGCGCGUAGAGUACGUAACGUUACUGUUGAUCCUUGAUGGUUAUAGAACGUACGUUGAAAUUGAAAAUAACAUCGGCGGAAGUUCGAGAGGCGCAACUGGAAGCGAUAAAUCUUCGGUAGCCGUUCCGCGUGCAUACUUGGAGUCCGGAAAGUGUGUCCUAAGAAACCGCGGAACAUUCCAAGCAAUAAAGUGUGAACUGUGAAGAAACAGGUUCCAUUUCGUCACGGCUCGUCCUCUUCUUCGCAACGACAAUGCGCUCCGCGUGUUCGAUUCUAUACGAUGAUUGAGUUCCCUCUUGGAUUUUCGUUUAGUUAGAAAUCAUGGAACGAAAAAUCCUUUCGAAUCAUUCGAAGAUCCCUUCAUUCGUCGUUCGUGUUUGCCAGUUGUGUUUGUGAUACUCAAAAUGGUGGCCAUAGAUGAUCCAAUUAAUCUUGAUCAGAGUGUGUGUUCUGAUAACAAAUAUUUUUGGUAAGUCUUCCUGGUUUGAUUUUGGGGGAAAUCCACGGUAAGCUUGGACCGUCGUAGCAAAUAUUGAAAUUUGAAUGGUUGAAGGAAAAUUGGAGAAACUGGGAGGAAGGGAGAGCCACGAGAACAUCACUCGCUAGAACAUUUUCGGGAACGCGUUUAAAAUAUAACAAGUCCACGCGAAUAUAAGAAGUUUAGAAACAAAAAGAAAAAGCACACCUUUGCUCGGAGUUAUUCCAUAACUCUGGCGAUAUUUUUCGAUGCCUGAAAGGUGGCUAUCGGUUCAGUCGCAGAACUUCAGUGGUGCGUAUUACCGGUAAUAUCCCGUUUCUGCUGCGCGAAUAGGUGACAACUCGAAGGGUCAGAUAACGAUACUGCACCGUGGCUGAUUACAGAGUUUGCGUUGAACCACGCCGAUCCAACGGUUAAAAAAUAUCUGCCAUCGAUAACAACUGCCCACACCGGAAGCGGGUAUGUUAAAGAGGCCGCUGAGGGUACACACUGGCAAGAAAUGCAAGCUGCCGCCGUUUUGAGCUCUUUCGCUUCGCUCGAACUUGGAAAAGAUCGGCAAUAAAACCUCGACCGAACGGGUCUAGCCUAGAAACCCUUCAAACCGCGAUACUUUCCGCUAAGCAACGUAUAAACUCGCAUAAACCGUUCGAGGUAUUCUCGAACAACUAACGCAGGCAUGUUCAACUCGACGCCCUUGCGGGCAAACAGCGAUCGCGGGAUAGUAAUAUAAUGUGAAUAUUAAGGACAAGCAGAAGAAUAAUUUCUCUAUGUAAUAAAAUGAUAUGUAUAUCAAUGACACGCCAAGAAGAAUGAAUACGCUACCGGGACUCUAGUUGUGCAUUAUUUGGUUAGGCGUUCCCGUGACAAAAUGGCGUACUUAUCGAUGCACGCCCUUUCCAAACCUUGGAUUAUUUUUAGAUGCCGCGGGCGUGGACGAGGCGAACGCUUCUACGCGUUGAUACUCGAACGGAGGCGGCUCGUGUUCAUUCUUCUGGCGCGCUAUUAAUACAUGCCGCGGCACGAAUAGUAAAACGAACCACACGUGCCGCGAUUGUCGCGGUAUUAACAAGUUUACCAAUAAACAAGUGUGUAUCAUUAUCGGUGUAUCGCAUUCGCGCUUGAAAAUCGCGAGUUCUAGCUCGUUCGUUCGAGACGGUUGCCCGCGACGGACCGACCGUUGGACAUGCCUUGACAAAUUCAAACGCAACGAAUUAGCUAUCCUAACAAACGAUAUAUUACGCUUUUGAUUCAACGAUCGUCGAGAGUAGCACCCGUUCAGACACCCUCGAGAUAUGUAUGGUUUCCGAGCAAAGCUCAAAACGAUCGAUUCGCCUCCUCUGCGGCGAGAGCUCGUCUCUCGUCUUCCCGAGCUACGCAGCACGACGGACGACGAGUACAAAUAUACGGACUCGCGCGUAUGCACGCGCGAUACGCUAGUUACCGGUUAGGGUUGGGGUUGAGGGUUCUGUUAUCACAUUAGUUUUACAAAAAAUCGUCUCGAGCGAGGCCACGACGGGACAUCCUGGUUUCUUCUCGCGUACAACGUAUAAAGGUGCAAAAAUCUGGAGAGGCACGGUCACCGCUGGGACUCCUAUGUCCGCGAUCCACCUCAACGACUAUCGACGCGUACUACGAGCAUUCCUCUAGUAUGAUAAUCGAUUAUGAUUGUUAGAGAUUCCCCCGCGUACCAAGAGCGGUCUAACGGGAUCCUGUCCGACUCGUUCAGAGUCCGGUAAAAAAAUCGUAGACCGUUCGCGAAUCGUAGAAAAUUGGCCGCCACUCAAAUCCAACUGUCCUCGCGACUCGUUCGCUUCGAUCCGUUCAUGGACCUAUCCGUUUGUCGCUAUCAACCCAUUCGCGACCGCGCCAACAUGAAGAAUUUCCCGGUUGCCGAAAACCUUAGUCCAAUUCAAUUAUUCUGAUUUAAGAGUUAAGAAUUAUUACGUAUAUAAUAACAACAAGUCAUCUAUUAUAUAUAUAUAUACACAUAUACAUACAAUAGAUAUAUAAUGUUAUAUUAUAAAGGGUGUCACAUCUAAACUAGACCACCUGAAUAUGUGUUUCAAUUGUGACAAUUUCAACAAAUAUUUGUAUUGUAUUUAUUACAAUGCUCCCCCAAAGGAUUCGCAUGGCUCCGUCUUUCCCAUUUACAUCUUUUACAAUUAAUUUCAACAAAUGUUUUACAUGCAAUUUGAACGAAGCGUAUUUUAAUAUCAGCUACAUAAAACGAUAGAAAAGAAACAUGAAUUUAUAAGCGAAAUUGAGAGAGAUAUUCAGGUGGUCUAGGUGUGACAUCCUGUAAAUACACACACAUAUAUAUAUCUACAUAUUCUAUAAAUGAUUAUAUGCUUCAUCUAUAAGACCGUAUUCGUUACGGAUGACUUGUCGUUAUUACGUUUAGUUACCAGAGCGUCGUAAGUCCCGUACUUUGGAAAAGUUUCGUUAAAGAACGAGUUUCUCUAACGUUAUAAAUCGCGAAACGUCGGCCGCGUAUCAAUUUGUCUAGGAAGCGACGAUAACACGUUGCGGCACGCGUAAAUAGACCUCGCGAAUAGACGAAUUAACGUCAGCGGUCGCGAAUGCGUUAACAGGGCUCGACGUCAUCGUUAUCAGCGAUGAAGCCGUCGCUAUUGCUGAACCUCUCGUCGAUGUUCCGAUCCUCGGUAACAAAAUAGGCGGCGUCCCGUUCUUGCGUUCGAUCCGAGGCGCGAAAAUUGGGCGGCAACGAGCUCGUUAUCGAUAACGAGUCGAGAGACUCGGGCGAUAUUCCGCGCGCCGUCGUCGUGAAGUUUUCCCCCCGUGAUUCGGAAUUUGGUAAAAUAGAGCUUCUAUGUAGUCAGCGAAGAAGCACUUGUUUCGUUGUCGUCCGAUAAACAACCGGUCGCGGAGCACCGCGAUUCAGGCGAUCGAGUCCUCGUUUAUCGUUCCAGUCUUGGAGAAUUAUCUACACCCUCGUUAUCGGGACGAUCUUGGUCGUCGAUAACGUUCCUCGAACGUCUCUUUUCAGUCCAUCGGUUCAGGUUUGAUAAAAAAUACACCGCGAGGGUGACGUCGUCCAGAUCCAUCGUCGAGACCUGGAACGCGCGUCCUUUCGUCGGUGACGAGGCCUUUUCUCUAAAAAAAAAGAAA